AGCUUUAUAGUCAAUAAUGAUAUUAGACUGCAAUUCUAAAGGAGUAAAUAAUAUUACUAAGGCUU
This 65-nucleotide transfer RNA is filed under the name Anastrepha striata. RNAcentral's name for it is "tRNA-Cys". The record is from RNAcentral. Lineage: Eukaryota; Metazoa; Arthropoda; Insecta; Diptera; Tephritidae.